AGAGCGAACGCUGGCGGCAGGCCUAACACAUGCAAGUCGAACGGACCCUUCGGGGUUAGUGGCGGACGGGUGAGUAACACGUGGGAACGUGCCUUUAGGUUCGGAAUAGCUCCUGGAAACGGGUGGUAAUGCCGAAUGUGCCCUUCGGGGGAAAGAUUUAUCGCCUUUAGAGCGGCCCGCGUCUGAUUAGCUUGUUGGUGAGGUAAUGGCUCACCAAGGCUACGAUCAGUAGCUGGUCUGAGAGGAUGACCAGCCACAUUGGGACUGAGACACGGCCCAAACUCCUACGGGAGGCAGCAGUGGGGAAUCUUGCGCAAUGGGCGAAAGCCUGACGCAGCCAUGCCGCGUGUAUGAUGAAGGUCUUAGGAUUGUAAAAUCUUUCACCGGUGAAGAUAAUGACUGUAGCCGGAGAAGAAGCCCCGGCUAACUUCGUGCCAGCAGCCGC
This 445-nucleotide ribosomal RNA is filed under the name uncultured soil bacterium. Its description in RNAcentral is "bacterial SSU rRNA". It matches the Rfam family "Bacterial small subunit ribosomal RNA", at positions 26 to 518 of the family's 1533-position model. The record is from RNAcentral.